This is a non-coding RNA of Annulohypoxylon truncatum, 147 nucleotides long. The record is from the annotation of a RefSeq genome assembly. NCBI's taxonomy places the organism in Eukaryota, Fungi, Ascomycota, Sordariomycetes, Xylariales, Hypoxylaceae.
GGAGCUAUAGCUCAGUGGUAGAGGUCAGUGGUCCUGCGCUUUCAGGGUGCCUUCUAGACAUUAAGGCUAACAAUACACAGCGAAGGAUUGCAGUUACACAAACAUGUUAUUAUCCUUAGGUCACCGGUUCGAUCCCGGUUGGUUCCU